This 602-nucleotide ribosomal RNA is filed under the name Notiospathius sp. 40 AZR-2013. RNAcentral describes it as "eukaryotic LSU rRNA". It matches the Rfam family "Eukaryotic large subunit ribosomal RNA", at positions 432 to 788 of the family's 3401-position model. The record is from RNAcentral. Lineage: Eukaryota; Metazoa; Arthropoda; Insecta; Hymenoptera; Braconidae.
GAUCGAAUGGGGAGAUUCAUCGUCAGCGCAUUUUGUAUAUGUAUGAGUUAUGAUGCAGGUUACUCUUGUAGUAUUGCUUGUACAUACUUUGACAUUUAUUUGCAAGAUGUUGUCGGCGUGCACUUCUCCUCUAGUAGGACGUCGCGACCCAUUGGGUGUCGGUUUACGACCCGAGUGGUAGCCUUUAAUGUUUAACAACAUUAAUAUGACCUUUGGUGUUUUCUGACCGACUGCCCGGAGGUACUCGUACGGUAUUUAGCCGCAUUUUUAUGCGUCCAUAUCCGUCGCAAGCGAGGCUAGUUUCUGACUGUACGGACCUGGUGCCGUCGUUGGAGCUAGCCAGGCUGUUGGUUGUUACGGUAUUCUAGGACUGACUAAAAUUAUUACCGGUCGGCGAUGCUACUGCUUUGGGUACUUUCAGGACCCGUCUUGAAACACGGACCAAGGAGUCUAACAUGUGCGCGAGUCAUUGGGAUUUUUUUUAAAUUAAACCUAAAGGCGUAAUGAAAGUAAUAGUCGUCCUUGCGACGCCCUAUGGAGGAUAAGCUGUGUUAAGAUAUAUCUUCGCACUCCCGGGGCGUCUCAUUCUCAUUGCGAGAAGA